This 887-nucleotide ribosomal RNA is filed under the name marine metagenome. Its description in RNAcentral is "bacterial SSU rRNA". It matches the Rfam family "Bacterial small subunit ribosomal RNA", at positions 8 to 900 of the family's 1533-position model. The record is from RNAcentral.
AGAGUUUGAUCCUGGCUCAGGACGAACGCUGGCGGUGCGCCUUAUGCAUGCAAGUCGAGCGAAGCUUUUCAGUAGUUUACUACAGAAAAUGACUGAGCGGCGAACGGGUGAGUAACGCGUGAGCAACCUACCUUAGUUACUGGGAUAGCCCGAGGAAACUCGGAUUAAUACCGGAUAUUCUUAUUUAAUCACAUGAUUUUUUAAGGAAAGGUCAGCCGAACUAAGAUGGGCUCGCGUUCUAUCAGCUAGUUGGUAGGGUAAUGGCCUACCAAGGCUACGACGGAUAGCUGGUCUGAGAGGACGAUCAGCCACACUGGGACUGAGACACGGCCCAGACUCCUACGGGAGGCUGCAGCAGGGAAUAUUGCGCAAUGAGCGAAAGCUUGACGCAGCGACACCGCGUGUGGGAUGACGGAUCUAGGUUUGUAAACCACUUUCAGGAGGGAAGAAAAUGACGGUACCUCCACAAGAAGCCCCGGCCAACUACGUGCCAGCAGCCGCGGUAAUACGUAGGGGGCGAGCGUUGUCCGGAUUUAUUGGGCGUAAAGAGCUCGUAGGCGGUUCAACAAGUCGGUCGUGAAAGUUCAGGGCUCAACCCUGAAAUGUCGAUCGAUACUGUUGUGACUAGGAUACGGUAGAGGUGAGUGGAAUUCCGAGUGUAGCGGUGAAAUGCGUAGAUAUUCGGAGGAACACCAAUUGCGAAGGCAGCUCACUGGGCCGCUAUCGACGCUGAGGAGCGAAAGCUAGGGGAGCAAACAGGAUUAGAUACCCUGGUAGUCCUAGCUGUAAACGAUGGAUACUAGACGUAGGAAUUGGAUUAACGAUUUCUGUGUCGUAGCUAACGCGUUAAGUAUCCCGCCUGGGGAGUACGGUCGCAAGACUAAAAC